Long non-coding RNA from Manis pentadactyla (Chinese pangolin), 289 nucleotides. RefSeq lists it as uncharacterized. The record is from RefSeq and is a predicted model, not a curated record. NCBI's taxonomy places the organism in Eukaryota, Metazoa, Chordata, Mammalia, Pholidota, Manidae. The transcript has 2 exons.
CUUGGUGAGGAGAGAGACCAGACAACUGCUCCUUUGUUGCCUCUCCUUCAAACCUAUGACAUCUUGGGCAUGAAUAAUGCGCUAGACCCACUCAGAUGGCCUUGAAGGACUGCAUGAAAGAAAUCCUUCUAGGAGGCAGAAGUUCAAGCAUGCAUCUGGGUUUUUGCUUUAUCUAAAAGAAAAGAUGGUAUGAGGUGUAGAUCUGUAUUAUGUCAUUCCAAGUAGCUGAAAUUUUGGCCAAAUGAUCAGGAACUUGGAAGAAAUAAAGCUGAAGAAUUGUUGACUAGAA